AUUGAACGCUGGCGGCAGGCCUAACACAUGCAAGUCGAGCGGAUGAAGGGAGCUUGCUCCUGGAUUCAGCGGCGGACGGGUGAGUAAUGCCUAGGAAUCUGCCUGGUAGUGGGGGAUAACGUCCGGAAACGGGCGCUAAUACCGCAUACGUCCUGCGGGAGAAAGUGGGGGAUCUUCGGACCUCACGCUAUCAGAUGAGCCUAGGUCGGAUUAGCUAGUUGGUGGGGUAAAGGCCUACCAAGGCGACGAUCCGUAACUGGUCUGAGAGGAUGAUCAGUCACACUGGAACUGAGACACGGUCCAGACGCCUACGGGAGGCAGCAGUGGGGAAUAUUGGACAAUGGGCGGAAGACUGAUCCAGCCAGGCCGCGUGUGUGAAGAAGGUCUUCGGAUUGUAAAGCACGUUAAGUUGGGAGGAAGGGCAGUAAGUUAAUACCUUGCUGUUUUGACGUGACCAACAGAAUAAGCACCGGCUAACUUCGUG
Molecule: ribosomal RNA, 484 nt
Filed under: uncultured bacterium
Lineage: Bacteria
Description: partial 16S ribosomal RNA
Rfam family: Bacterial small subunit ribosomal RNA
Source: RNAcentral